Molecule: non-coding RNA, 482 nt
Organism: Phyllostomus hastatus (greater spear-nosed bat)
Lineage: Eukaryota; Metazoa; Chordata; Mammalia; Chiroptera; Phyllostomidae
Source: the annotation of a RefSeq genome assembly
GGUUUUGGGAAACCCUGCUUCAGCUGUGGGGCCACAGAAGGCAGGACUCAGGGAUGGUCUCCACCAUGGCCUGGUCCCCUCUCCUGCUCACCCUCCUGGCUCACUGCACAGGGUCCUGGGCCCAGUCUGUGGUGACUCAGCCACUCUCAGUGUCGGGGAACCCAGGACAGAGGGUCACCAUCUCCUGCACUGGAAGCAGCUCCAACAUUGGGGGUAAUUAUGUGUACUGGUACCAACAUCACCCAGGAAAGACCCCCGAAGUCCUCAUCUAUGAUAAUAGCAAUCGAUACUCAGGGGUCUCUGAACGAUUCUCUGGCUCCAAGUCUGGCAACUCAGCCACCCUGACCAUCACUGGGCUGCAGGCUGAGGAUGAGGCCAGUUACUACUGUGCAGCAUGGGACAGCAGUGUCAGCGGUCCCACAGUGCUGCAGGCCUGUGGGGAAGUGAUACAAGAACCCCUGUGUCAUCUGGGAGCUGGGUGA